Molecule: RNA transcript, 1568 nt
Organism: Setaria italica (foxtail millet)
Lineage: Eukaryota; Viridiplantae; Streptophyta; Magnoliopsida; Poales; Poaceae
Gene name: B3 domain-containing protein Os03g0619600-like
Exons: 5
Source: RefSeq, a predicted model, not a curated record
CAACUCUGCUCAAGUAUAACUCGGCCCAAACCACCUGCCGUCGUGGUGGGCCCCCCACCUGGACCGACGCCGGAAACAAGAAGCCUCCAACUCUCCUGGCCGCCGGACCAACGGGCGGCGCGCCGCAGCAGCUCCUCUCCUCUCCACCGCUGCCUUGGACCCCCCCCCCCCCCCCCCCUCUCCGCAGCAGCUUCCUGGAGAUUCCGGGGUUGGGGACUUGGAUCGGCUUCAGCAUGGCCCAUCGAUUGACGGGGGAUGCUUGGACUGGCCUUGGUCUGGAUGCUCCCGUUGUGCAACAAGGCUUGGGCAUUGCUGCUGUUGUGAGGCAGUGAGGCGCAUGUACCCUGGUGUACCGUUCGUUUGGUUUAGUGCUCGGUAUUAAGGCCAUUGAAUUUUAUUGAAAUGCCAAGACUGCGCCCAAUCCCAUUAUAUUUUCGUUGUUGCUGUGAUAUUGCGCAUUAAGAUUGGGGCAUCAGUGUUGUGAAGCACUAUUGUGGUUUACUGUUCCUUCCUUUAGUUCUGGUCCUCUGGUAUUCGAUGAGGAUCGAAUUCGUGGUCCGGUCACGGGAAGGGUUAGUCCUCCUCCAAUAGUUCGCUUGGGCAUGAGCCUUAUUGAAAUGGUCACAUGAGAGCUUAGAAGUGGUGUUGUCAGUGGUGACUCAUGAAGGAUUUCGACCUGUCUGUCUUUCAUUUGCACCCAACGGUCAGGGCAUAUCGCCAGCACAAUUUGAUGAUUGUUUUGUGAGUUGCUUGUAUAAUUGAUAAUUUCAUAAUGCAACAAACCUCGUGGUAGUUUUUGCAGGACACUGUGUGUGAAGUGUGCGGAAAUAUUGGUUACAAACAUCUUCUGGUAUGCUGCAGAGACUGCAAGUGUUCUGCUGUGCACCUAUACUGUUUGGACAAAGUUAUCUUUGAUGCAUCAUUAGCAGAAUGGUGGUGUGAUGAAUGCCUACAGAGGCGUGGUGAAGUUCCUUGCAACAGAUCUUUAGAGAGGGUGUCUAGUCAAAGGUCGCCAAAUCAUGAUCAUUUUGGUUCUACAGUACAGCAGCAAGUUACCAAGAGAGUGAAGUCAGCAAAGAAUGCAGGGCCAAGGAGAAAAAGUAAAGCAGAAGAUAUUCCCUCUGCAAAAUAUUCUUUGGACUCGGAUGAUCUUCAGGCAUCCUCAAAGGCUCAUUAUGUUUUAUCAUAUAGAAGUUAUCUAUCUGAAGCACAAAAGCAAAGGGUAAUGGCAUUUAUCAAGGAAAUUCAACCUAAAAUCACUGUUUUUGUAGCAGUCAUGCUAAAGAGGAAUGUUCAACCCCCGGGCCCUUUUCUGAAGCACAUCAUGUUCCAUCUGUUAUCAGGGUAUUUCCAAGGAAUAUGCAUUUCCACAUUUCCCACAUAAAAGUGCAAAUGUCACACUUCAGACGCCUAGCAAGAGCAACAAGUGGCAUCUUAAAUUCUACAAAAGAAAUGCCAGUAGAAAGAACAUGCUUAUGGGGCAGUGGUUAGAAUUUGUGCGUGACAAUCAUGUGCAGGAGGGAGAUAUCUGCCUCCUUUUUCCAACAGCGGGUGGGAGAAGAUACACA